GAUGAACGCUGGCGGCGUGCUUAACACAUGCAAGUCGAACGAUGAAGCCCAGCUUGCCGGGUGGAUUAGUGGCGAACGGGUGAGUAACACGUGAGUAACCUGCCCUUAACUCUGGGAUAAGCCUGGGAAACUGGGUCUAAUACCGGAUAGGAGCGCCUACCGCAUGGUGGGUGUUGGAAAGAUUUAUCGGUUUUGGAUGGACUCGCGGCCUAUCAGCUUGUUGGUGAGGUAAUGGCUCACCAAGGCGACGACGGGUAGCCGGCCUGAGAGGGUGACCGGCCACACUGGGACUGAGACACGGCCCAGACUCCUACGGGAGGCAGCAGUGGGGAAUAUUGCACAAUGGGCGAAAGCCUGAUGCAGCGACGCCGCGUGAGGGAUGACGGCCUUCGGGUUGUAAACCUCUUUCAGUAGGGAAGAAGCGAAAGUGACGGUACCUGCAGAAGAAGCACCGGCUAACUACGUG
This 466-nucleotide ribosomal RNA is filed under the name uncultured bacterium. RNAcentral describes it as "partial 16S ribosomal RNA". It matches the Rfam family "Bacterial small subunit ribosomal RNA", at positions 28 to 507 of the family's 1533-position model. The record is from RNAcentral.